AGUGAACGCUGGCGGUAGGCCUAACACAUGCAAGUCGAACGGCAGCACAGUAAGAGCUUGCUCUUACGGGUGGCGAGUGGCGGACGGGUGAGGAAUACAUCGGAAUCUACUUUUUCGUGGGGGAUAACGUAGGGAAACUUACGCUAAUACCGCAUACGACCUACGGGUGAAAGCAGGGGAUCUUCGGACCUUGCGCGAUUGAAUGAGCCGAUGUCGGAUUAGCUAGUUGGCGGGGUAAAGGCCCACCAAGGCGACGAUCCCUAGCUGGUCUGAGAGGAUGAGCAGCCACAUUGGAACUGAGCCACGGUCCAGACUCCUACGGGAGGCAGCAGUGGGGAAUAUUGGACAAUGGGCGCAAGCCUGAUCCAGCCAUACCGCGUGAGUGAAGAAGGCCUUCGGGUUGUAAAGCCCUUUUGUUGGGAAAGAAAAGCAGCAGGUUAAUACCCCGCUGUUCUGACGGUACCCAAAGAAUAGGCACCGGCUAACUUCGUG
Molecule: ribosomal RNA, 492 nt
Filed under: uncultured bacterium
Lineage: Bacteria
Description: partial 16S ribosomal RNA
Rfam family: Bacterial small subunit ribosomal RNA
Source: RNAcentral